This 484-nucleotide ribosomal RNA is filed under the name uncultured bacterium. RNAcentral describes it as "partial 16S ribosomal RNA". It matches the Rfam family "Bacterial small subunit ribosomal RNA", at positions 30 to 507 of the family's 1533-position model. The record is from RNAcentral.
AUUGAACGCUGGCGGCAGGCCUAACACAUGCAAGUCGAGCGGAUGAAGGGAGCUUGCUCCUGGAUUCAGCGGCGGACGGGUGAGUAAUGCCUAGGAAUCUGCCUGGUAGUGGGGGAUAACGUCCGGAAACGGGCGCUAAUACCGCAUACGUCCUGAGGGAGAAAGUGGGGGAUCUUCGGACCUCACGCUAUCAGAUGAGCCUAGGUCGGAUUAGCUAGUUGGUGGGGUAAAGGCCUACCAAGGCGACGAUCCGUAACUGGUCUGAGAGGAUGAUCAGUCACACUGGAACUGAGACACGGUCCAGACUCCUACGAGAGGCAGCAGUGGGGAAUAUUGGACAGUGGGCGAAAGCCUGAUCCAGCCAUGCCGCGUGUGUGAAGAAGGUCUUCGGAUUGUAAAGCACUUUAAGUUGGGAGGAAGGGCAGUAAGUUAAUACCUUGCUGUUUUGACGUUACCAACAGAAUAAGCACCGGCUAACUUCGUG